This 9021-nucleotide long non-coding RNA is filed under the name Homo sapiens (human). RNAcentral describes it as "HSALNT0390074". Lineage: Eukaryota; Metazoa; Chordata; Mammalia; Primates; Hominidae. The record is from RNAcentral.
GGGUUUGGCUUUAGGCUUUGGAGCCCUAAACGCCCCCCAACCCGUACCCCAUCUCCCUCCUUCCUUCCAAGCAGCGGCCUCUGCAGUCCCUCAGUGUGGAACUGCCCUCGGACAAUGCCUGGGACUCAGGCCUCACUAAAGGUUGCCCUUUCUGGCAGGGCGCGGUGGCUCACGCCUAUAAUCUCAGCACUUGGGAGGCCGAGGUGGGUGGAUCACUUGAGGUCGGGAGUUCGAGACCAGCCUGGCCAACAUGGUGCAACCCCACCUCUACUAAAAAUACAAAAUUAGCUGGGUGUGGUGGCACAUGCCUGUAAUCCCAGCUACUUAGGAGGCUGAGGUUGCCAUGAGCCAAGAUUGUGCCACUGCACUGCAGCCUAAGCGACAGAGUGAGACUGCGUCUUAACAAAAAAAAAAAAAAAUUGCCUUUUCUGCCACUAUCCCCCACCACAUGGCUUCCAGCCUUCAAGUCCAGAAUUUGCCACCAACAGCCUUUUUCCCUUGAUGUGAAACCGUAGCCAUCAGGAAGGUCUCACCAUCUAACCUAGAUCUCUCUUGCUGUAACCCAAGCACCUUGCCUCUGCUUUCCCAAAGACAAGGAGGACAGCAGAGGCCACCCUGGCUCCAGGGUCACAGGCCAAGGACUCCAGGAUCAGCCCUGCCCAGCUGAUCUCCAGGCAUGGGAGGCUGAGGCAUGAGAAUCACUUGAAUCCGGGAGGCGGAGGUUGCAGUGAGCCAAGAUUGCGCCACUGCACUCCAGCUUGGGCAACAGAGUGAGACUCUGUCUCUAAAAAAUAAAUAAAUAAAAGCAUCUCCUGUGUGCAGGCCCUGCUCAUGUACUAAUAGACAAGGAAACUGAGGCUCAGGGAAGCUUAAGUAAGUUGUCAGAAUUCCAUACUGGUAGAAGCCACUUUGGGCUCUGGAGGUCGGGGUCCAGCGCCUCUGACCUUUGGCCCUGCACUGCACGGCUCUUCUAGUGCUUCUAAAUUCCGAAGUCUGGGGAGUAAGUCUCAACACUGUCACUUCCCAGUUAUUUAAUACAUGGCCCCAGUGGCACUAACCUGUCACUAAGCCUCAUGUUCUCCAUCCAUAAAAUGGAGACCACAAUCAUACCUGCUGCAAAAUCCAAAAUUCAGAGGUUUCUACAGCGUGACCGACACUGUGCCCCGGAGAGUUUCGGCCCUCUCCUGGCUCUGGCCCCCUGGAACACGUGAUGCCCAGCCCAAACAGUGCCACACCCUGCUCUACAAUGCCUCAACGAGAGUCACAACCAAAGAUUUUUGAGUCAGAGGACAAUAGAGGAGGUGGGAACUGGGUAAACGGAGAGUCCAUGGCCUUUGGAGGUGGGGCACAGCCCGGAGUGAAUGAGGGCCCAGAGUUUCCAGAGAACCGAAUAUAGAUCUGUGUGUGAAGCCUCCAGAUAUUCUAAUGUUGACAACGAAAUCAAAUUGAAAAAAAAUAAAAAUCAAUAACCCCUGUGUGGGCCAAAAGAAGUAAGACAGAGGGCCUCUCUUCCUCCCUUUAUUUCGACAAGCCCCUAAUACUGGGUUUGGCUUUGUGACCCCAAGGCCCUGGCUUGCCCAAUUGCAAAUUCUGACCUAAGGAAUUGAGUCUAUAUCUCUGGACCAUCUCCUCUCACCCUCUCUUGGACCCUUUUGUAGGAUCCUUCUCCCUUCUCUUCCUCCUAUCUGAGUCCUUGAAGGACCAGUUCAGAUAUCACCUCCUCCAGGAACCCUUCCUUGAUUUGUCCUCAAGUGGACAUUCUCCCUCUCUGACCACUAACAGCACUUUUUGCUUUAAUUAAAAUAAAACACAAAACCCACCUAUAUACUUUAAUAAAUCUGAGGGCGGAAUGAGGUCUUAUCUCCUCACCACAGUGCUCAUCCCAGAGCCAGGAUACCAGCUAGUGUUGACUGAAGGGGCAGACAGGUAGACGGACAGAUGGGGGGACUAAGUGAAUUCUAUCCCCAGCUCUGCCCCAUCUGUCCAGAGUUCAGGACAGAGGCCUCGCAGGGCAGAGGCCUCGCAGGUCAGGGUUUCUCAACCUUAGCUGUGCAUCGGAAUUACCCAGGGGAGGCUGCAGACACCACAGCCCAGGGCAUCUCACCCAGCUGGUGUGGGAUGGGGCCUGGGCAUCUGUAUUUUUAAAACCCACUUUGACCAUGACUGAAAAUCAGGGUCUCAGGGGCAAGAGGAGAAAUCCACCUCCUUAAGAGGCCAUGACCCCUUGGGGCCAGCCUGUGGCCCUAACAGCUCCAGAGGGUCCCUCAGGGUCUAGACUGUGGCCCUCUGAGUGAAUGCCCACUCGGUACCCCCUGGUCAGGAAGGGGAAAGUGGAACCCUCCUCUUUCCAGACAAAGAGCUGGGUGUACACGGCACGUGCCAGGCCGAGGGGCUCACCAGACCCCCCCCCCAACCAGGUCCAGGUAGCCUCUAAAUGGUCCCAUCCUGAGCAAUGACACGGUGAGGGCAGAGGGGAGCCUGCAGCGCCACUACACUUAGGCACAUCCUCCUACACCCCCUUGGCCAUGGGAAGGGGGACUGCUCAUUGCCAUGACAACCAGGCUCUGCAGCUGGGGCUGCCUCCCCUACCUAGGCCAGCCCUCUGAUGCCAAGCCCAUGGGUGUGGGGGAGAUGAGUGACUAAGGCCGGAAAUGGGGGUGAGUCACCGGGGCCUGCUCUGUCCAGAGCCUUCUGCAAACAGGCCAUCAACACAGGCAGCCUGAACGCCUGACUGGGCCCCCACUUGGGCAGGCUCCCAAUGGAGGGGGCCCCUACUUCUGGCCCCUUACCCUCAGCUCCCCAGGAACCUGUUGGGGGAAGGGGUGACAUUCCAGGCUGCCCCGCAAACUGGCACUGCCCCCCAAACACACACCCAGUGGAAAAGCCAAACAGAAGGAGGGUGCAGUCCCAGGCGGGGCCAGGUGCUGAGUCCCUGGUUGGGUGCUUCUGUGUCCCCACUGCUCGUGCUUCUGAACCCUGGGGCAGUGAGAGGACUGGGGUGUCCAGCAGGAAGGGCAGGGCCAACAGAGGUAAGGAGGCAAGGUCAGAGGGAGGGCUCAGGGCCAGGGCAGCGAUGCUGCGAGGACCGUGGCUCUCCAUCCAGCCACCCAGUAGACAUUUAUAGGUCCUGCCAGGCCCAAGCCCACAGAUGUCGCCUUGACCUUGUUCCUACCUGCUCUGAGCAGGUGCACAAGCCGCCCACCUCCUACUGUUCCUGUGGGGUUUGUAUCUACUUGAACCAUCUCUGCCUUGAUCCUGUAGCUGCCGGGCCAGUGACUGAGUGGGUGGAGACAAUCACAAAAUAAUAGCAGUGAAAAUGAGGGCAAACGAAAGCCAAAAGGUGGAAACAACCCGAGUGCUCAUCAACAGAUGAGCCUGUAAUCCCAGCACUUUGGGAGGCCAAGGCAGGCGGGUCAUUUGAGGUCAGGAGUUCAAGACCAGCCUGACCAAUAUGGUGAAACCCUGUCUCUACAAAAAAUAAAAAACAUUAGCUGGGCAUGGUGGCUCACACCUGUAAUCCCAGUACUUUGGAAGGCCGAAGCAGGCAGAUCAUUUGAGGUCAGGAGUUCGAGACCAGCCUGACCAACAUGGUGAAACCCCGUCUCUACUAAAAAUAGAAAACAGCCGAGCAUGGUGGCCCACGCCUGUAAUCUCAGCUACUAGGGAGGCUAAGGCAGGAGAAUGCUUGAACCCGGAAGGCAGAGGUUGCAGCGAGCUGAGAUUGUGCCACUAUACUCCAGCCUGGGAGACAUGGCGAGACUCCGUCUCAAAAAACAAAACAAAACAAAACAAACAAAAAACAUAUGAGACAGAUGAGUGCAUAAGCAAAAUAUGGUUUAUCGAUACAAUGGAAUAGUAUUCAGCCAUGUAAAGGAGUGAAAUCUGAUGCACGCUACAACAUGGAUGAACCUUGAAAACAUCAUGCUAAGUGAAAGAAGCCAGACCCCAAACGACAAAUACUAUGUGAUUCCACCCAUGUGAGGUACCCAGAGCGGCAAGUUCAUAGAGACAGAAAGUAGCUGGGAGGGUACCAGGGGCUGGAAUGGGGAGGUAAUGGAGAGUUAUUGCUUGAUGGUUAGUUUCUGUUUGGAUGAUGAAAAAGUUUUGGAAAUAGGCAACAGUAAUAGUUGCACAACAGCGUGAAUGUAAUUAAUGCCAGUGAAUUAACCACUUAAAAAUGGUUGCAAUGGCCAAUUUCAUUAUAUAUAUUUUACCAUAUUUUUUUUUUUUUUUUGAGAUGGAGUCUCGCUCUGUUGCCCAGGCUGGAGUGCAGUAGCACGAACUUGGCUCACUGCAAGCUCCGCCUCCUGGGUUCACGCCAUUCUCCUGCCUCAGCCUCCUGAGUAGCUAGGACUGCAGGUGCCCGCCACCACACCUGGCUAAUUUUUUUUGUAUUUUUUAGUAGAGACGGGGUUUCACCGUGUUAGCCAGGAUGGUCUUGAUAUCCUGACCUCAUGAUCCGCCCACCUCAGCCUCCCAAAGUGCUGGGAUUACAGGCAUGAGCCACUGCGCCCAGCCUAUUUUUUUUUUUUUUUUUUUUUUUUGAGACAGCAUCUCGUUCUGUUGCCCAGGCUGGAGUGCAGUGGCACGAUCUCAGCUCACUGCAACCCCCACCUCCCGGGUUCAAGUGAUUUCCGGCUAAUUGUUGUAUUUUUAGUAGAGAUGGGGUUUCACCAUGUUGGCCAGGCUGGUCUCGAACUCCUGACUUCAAGUGAUCCACUCGCCUCGGCCUCCCAAAGUGCUAGGAUUACAGGCGUGAGCCACAGCACCCGGCCUAUUUUACCAUAAUUUUUAAAGUUUAAUGAUAUAAUAUGCUGGAAACCAUUGUAUACUUUUUUUUUUUUUCUGAGACAGGGUCUUGCUCUGUAGCCAGGCUGGGGUGCAGUGGCACAAUAAUGGCUCACUGCAGCAGCCUCAAACUCUUGGGCUCAAACAAUCCACCUACCUCAGCCUCCCGAGGAGCUGGGACUACAGACUUGCACUACCAGGCCUGAAUAAUUUUUAAAUUUUUUUGUAGAGUUGGGGUCACACUAUGAUGCCCAGGCUGGUCUCAAACUCCUGGCCUCAAGUGAUUCAACAGCCUCUGCCUCCCAAAGUGCUCCGCACUGUGUACUUUCAAUGGAUAAAUUAUAAGGUAUGUGAAUGAAUAUCUCAAAAAUGCUGUUAAAGAAGCAGACAGCCAGGUCGGCACCCGGUGGGGCUGAAAUGUGGUGGAAGUUGGGGGAGUCUGACCCCAAAGGGCUGUGUGUGGCCACAACAGGCACAAGCACAUGGAGCCUGGUUUAGGCCUGGCCCAUAGUGGGUGCUCAGUAAAUGAUCACAAAGAAGGAAACUGAGGCAGGGCUCUGGGGAAGUGAGUUAGUGCCCCGGGUGGAAAGAGGCACCCACGUGUUCUGAUCCAUCUGUCCCCUUAGUCCCAUGGCCUCCAGGGGGUACCUUCCCCAGACCAGGACAGCGGCACCUCCCGCCCAAUUCAGUGUUGUCAGCUGGGGCUCAGACACCUUCCCAAGCUGCCCGCUUAUCUCAGCCUCAGAGAGGGGUCAGGCGUGCUGAGGAAAGGGCAGGCCCAGUUUCUCAACUUCCACCUGCAGCCCGGGCGGUUUGGGGCGUGGAUGGUCUGGGGCCUGAGCAGUUCUGUAAGGGUAGCCAAGACCAGGGACCAGAAACUACCUCAUGUCAGAGCUGGAAGGGGCCCCAAAUCCCACCCUUUUCACAGGUGCACCACUGAGCUCAGAGAGGACAAGCCCUGUGUGCUGAAGAUAGUGCAGGUCGCCCCCAGGCAGGGAUGGAUAUAGAGGCUGUGCAGUGGAGACAGGCGCCAGGGCAGCUGGCAGGGAGGGUGGGAGUUCUGUCCAGGCGUGUCCCGGAGGGGUGGCAUGCAGGCAGGGCAGGGUGUGUGUGGGGUGUAUGCAUAGGUGGGGAGUGUGUGUGUGCGUGAGACAGUGUGUGUGUAUGAGUGUGAGUGAAUGUGUGUGAGUGUGUGCGUGUGAGUGUGUGUGUGCGUACAGGGUUCAUGGGUGGAGAGGGUGGAAGGUGGGCCAGCCAGGGGGAAAUAGGCGGCUCGCACUCGGGAGGUGCACACAGGGCUCCACAGGAAUGCGAGUCAUGCAGGGAACUGCUACAGCCAGCAGCUGUGGCCAAGGCCGAGCAGGGAGUAGAGAAAGAGCGUUUCCAGGUGGCCGGGGCUGUGAGGCUCUAGGAGAGGACACACAAUGGCGAGGGGUCCCAAAGACCCUCCCACCCUAAUCCUUUAGCCAGCAGGCAGCCUCCACACCUCAGGCACCAAGCAUGUCCCCCGUGACCCAGCUGGCUGCCACACCCAGGGCUGGAGCCUGGCGGGGGCUCGGUGCCAGAGUCCAUAACAUUCCUUGGAGAAUCAACAAAGUCAGGAAAGGCAGGCGGUGCUUCCCUUGGCCCCGGGUGGGACACAGCAAGUGGGGGUGGCAGCACCCUUUUCUCUGGGGCCAGAACAGGCAUGAAACCUGGUUGGGUGCGGAAGUCAGGGUAGGGGACAGGGAAAGAUGUGAGGGGGACCACAGGGCCUGGCAGAGCCAGCCCCCUAGUCCCACCUGGCAUGCCCCUGCUUAGACUGGAGGGCCACCCAGCUUACCCACCACCCAGGCCAGGCACCUGCCAGGGCUGGGGGUUGUUCUGAAGACCCUCACCUGCCAAGUCACCCACAGCAGUCCCACUCACCCUGCGGAAGACAUCCCAGGCAGGCCAUGGGCCGAGCCCUCUCGCUCAGGGGCACUUGGUAGUGUGUGUAGGCUGGGGAGGCAAGGGGGCAGGAUUCUGCCCACUCAGGCCUCUGCCCAUGGGGAGGAUGAGGGGCAGGGGCGGAGCAUCAGGGCACAGGCACACACGGGGCUGUGGGGACACAGGGUGGCCAGAGAAAAUCCAGGACACCCGUUAAAUGUGAAAUUCAGAUAAAGAAUAAUUUUUUAGUAUAAAUACAUUCCAUAUUCCGCAUUUAGCGGAAUUCCAAACUUAACCGGGUGUUCUGUAUUUUAUUUGGCAGCCCUGUGAGGACGCUCCUGGGGGCUGGCAGGGCCCCCAUGGGAGAGGAGCGGCCAGGAGGCCCCCUGCAGGUAUCAGCUUCUCUAUCAGUCACUGUGUGACAAGCACGGACUCUGGGCCACACUGCCUGGGUUCAAAUUUUCUCUCAGCUACUUCCCAGCUUUGAACCCUAGGCAAGUUACCAAAUCUCUCUGAGUCUUAGUUUCCUCAUCUGUAAGAGAAGGCUACUGGUACCACCUACCUCAUAUUAGUGUGAGCAUUACAUGAGAUAAUAUGCGAAAAGCGCCUGGGACAGUGACAAAAUUGUUCAUUAGUAUUCAUCAGGCUAGCCAAGAAUGGUGGCUUACACCUGUAAUCCCAGCACUUUGGGAAUCCAAGGCAGGAGGAUUCUUUUAGCCCAGGAGUUCAAGACCAGCCUGGACAACACAGUGAGACCCCAACUCUACAAAAAACAGAAACAAAAUUAGCUGGAUGUGGUGGUACCCAGUCUCCCAGUCUCCUGAGUCCCAGCUACUUGGGAGACUGAGGUGGGAGGAUCACUUGAGGUCAGGAAUUUGAGGUUGCAGUGAGCCAUGAUCAUGCCACUGCACUCCAGCCUGGGUGACAGAAUGAGACCCUGUCUCAUAAACAACUAACAACAACAGCAACAACAAAAAGUAUUCACUGGGAGCCAUCAUGGAAAACUAGGCUCUGGCAGCAGGCAGGCAUGUGGCCUUGGGCGGUGAUUUCACCCCUCCGCCUUGAGCUUCCCGUCUGUAAUGUGACAUGAGGACAGCACCUCCCGCACAGGGAUGCCUGAGGAUUAAGCAGGAUCAGGUCUGAUGCAAGCUCAGCACAGUGCCUCACGCAUGGCGGGUGCUCACUGGGCUCUAGCGCUCCUCUCUCUUCAAUGAUUCCCUGCAAGUCCGCAGCCCAGCCCAGGAGCGGGGGACUGGAGGGGGGACAAAGGACUCCCACUCACUGUGGGGGUGUUUUCUUCCUCCUUCCCCGCUCAUCUGGGUCUCCCUAGUGUGGCCCUAAAGGAUUUUCCUUCCUCAGGCCCCUCUAAGCCACUCCCUGCCCUAGUCCCUUGACCUGAUUUGAUAUAAAAUCUAUUCUCUGUUAGGCUAAGGGGUGUGGUGAUGGCAGGGGCAGAGCGAGGCGGGGGAGGCUACCUGGGUGACAGGCCUAGGCCUUGGCCUCUGAUGGCCCAAGGGGCUGGGCCCCAAGACUGGGUUUCCUUCUCCACCCUGUCCCUGGACUCCCUAUGGCCUGGGGAAGGGACAUUCCCAACAGACUCGGACUCAACAUUCCUCUCUCUGCAGUCACUCAGCAGGACAGGGCAGUGGUGAGGAAUGAGGGUGACCUAGAUGACAUUCUGAUAUCUAUGUAGUUCCCGAGAGUGUCACCUUGAUGAGGUGCCCAGAGCUCCCGUGCAGCCUUACUCAGCUGAUGAGUACCGAGGCCCGGGCUCAGCUGUAAUUAUUUGUCUGCAUGUGACUCUGCCCACUAAACUGUGCACUCCCUGAGGGCAAAGCUCUGUGCUACUCAUCUCUGUAGCCCCAGCCCCUGGCACAGCACCCUGGCCCACUAAUGGCGCUCAGCAAACGUGUGGGAUGAAGAGGCCAAUGGGCAUGGGGCCUCCCCUCAGCCCUUCCGCGGCACCCGUGACCCUGCCAGGGCUGACUCCCAGGGCUGCCCUCAGCCAUCCCCAAACCACACCAUUUCUUAGCCCAGAGAAUGACACCUGUCGAUCACAGAGUCCAGCCCAGUCUAUCUCCUGGGAGUUCUGGGGUCCAUCCUGGGUGUCCCCCAAGUCUGGUCCCCACCCCUUGCCCAACUAACUCCUCAGCCUCCCUCCUUGGGUCUCCCUGUUUCGCCCCUGCCUUCAUCCAACCUGCCCCCCACUCUCCACACUCACUCCUGCCCAAGCCCUUUCUGGGGCUCCUGAUGCCCUCCAGAUAAAGUCCAUGACUCUCCAGGGAGGGCCUGGAGGAGCUCCUCCCACCCCCAGCCUCUCCCCUU